AGUUUGAUCAUGGCUCAGAGUGAACGCUGGCGGCAGGCCUAACACAUGCAAGUCGAGCGGCAGCGCGGGGGCAACCCUGGCGGCGAGCGGCGGACGGGUGAGGAAUACAUCGGAAUCUGCCUUGUUGUGGGGGAUAACGUAGGGAAACUUACGCUAAUACCGCAUGAGACCGUAAGGUGAAAGUGGGGGAUCGCAAGACCUCACGCGACAAGAUGAGUCGAUGUCGGAUUAGCUAGUUGGUGAGGUAAAGGCUCACCAAGGCAACGAUCCGUAGCUGGUCUGAGAGGAUGAUCAGCCACACUGGGACUGAGACACGGCCCAGACUCCUACGGGAGGCAGCAGUGGGAAAUAUUGGACAAUGGGCGCAAGCCUGAUCCAGCCAUGCCGCGUGUGUGAAGAAGGCCUUCGGGUUGUAAAGCACUUUUGUUGGGAAAGAAAUCCUGUCGAUUAAUACUCGGCGGGGAUGACGGUACCCAAAGAAUAAGCACCGGCUAACUUCGUG
RNAcentral lists this ribosomal RNA (502 nucleotides) under uncultured bacterium. Its description in RNAcentral is "bacterial SSU rRNA". It matches the Rfam family "Bacterial small subunit ribosomal RNA", at positions 10 to 507 of the family's 1533-position model. The record is from RNAcentral.